AACGUGAUACAGGAUUUUUGUUUUGGUUGAUAUUUGAUCAUUUUAAACUUUUCCUCUGCUGACUAAAUUUAUACUGCCAAAAGGAUGUGGAGAUAUGAAUAUAGGCUUACAGUGCUACACUUCUGGUGCCACUCACUAUAAUUGAAACUUCACACCAGUCUGAGCUAGAAGUGGUUCUUCAAGUUCAUUUGAGUUGACUAAAUCAGACUAGAGUUUUCCGCUAGUUCAGCUUAAGCUUUGCUUAUAUGUGCUCUAGGGUGUAGCAUGUCUGCAGGUGUAAUUAUAGUUACUACAGCCAAUUGAUAUUAAUGUCUCCCAUUCUUCACUACCUUUUCCAGUCCCCAUAGUUGUUGCCUAGUGCUGCACUCAUAAUGUGGCAGAAAUUGUUUUCUGGGUUACAUUGUAGCAGUUAUUUGGUGCUAUUGAGAUGAUUUGUGUUUGAUAUAUUGCAAAAGUGUACAACACUGCUGCAUUGAAAAGCAUUCUGAUGGAGAUUACUUUCUUAUCAGAUAGUAUUGCGUGCUUUGUAAUACAAAUAAUUAUUUCGGAAAUAUCAAUGUGAGAUCAUACUAGUAGUGAUAGAUUUUAUACAUUCAACUUCAAAUUCUUCAUGAAAUCUCAAAAUUCCAUCUUCGUCAUUACAGGAAGGAGAGCUUUAGAUUACUAAGCAAUAACAGUUAAUAAUACUUUAUUCCCUUGCUUUUGGUGGCUUGUUUUCUGUUGUUUUGAGUUUGGAGGUUUUCUUUGAGGCUGUGGUUAGUUUCUGAGUUUUGUGGACUGCUGGUCCACAUUGAUUGUACCCUUUUAUAUAUAUCUGCAUGUUUCCUAUAAAAAAUAAUAAUAAAUUUACUUGUUUGUUUCCCACAUAAAAUAUGAAAGGAUCCCUUGUGAGAUUAGUAGAAAAAAUUGGCAUUCUUCUUCUUCUUCUUCUUCUACUAUUGAUGGUGGAUUGAAGAAUAGUGAGAAGUUUUGUGCUUUUGAAAUUCAUACCCCGCCUUCCUUUUCUAAAUGUAGUUGCUAGAGGUUUCUUCUUGAUGGGAUCAUCAUCAAUUUAAUUAAGUUUUUGCUAGUUUCAGAUAUCAACACCGGGCACAACGUAUAUAGUACGACUUUUGCUACUGUAUUCACAUUGGCGUGAGAAGAGAAGUUGGCAAUCAUGCAAAAGUACUGAACAAAACACUGCCUGAAAGUACAAGGAUGAACGCAGUUCCCACCAAGGACAGAGGUGGAAUUAACCCUAAACCGAAAACAUCAUCGUCUUCGUCGUUAAAGUCGGAUAGCUUUAGGUCUCUGUUGUCUGAGGAAGCAAAUUCUUUCUCAUCAAAACCAACAAACGGCCCUUUAGUGUCUCUCUCAGAUAACAAAAUGAGGCAAACUACUGACACACAGAUGUCUUCUGGCUUAGGAACUGAUGCCGAGCAAGGUUUAGAAAGAGCUGGCAAUCGUUCAACUCUGUUGAAAGAAUCGAUUGGCCACACUGAAGUUGAAGUCACAGCCGGUGCUUUGUUGGGUUUCUUAGUAAGCUUGGCUAUGUACACCAUAAUGUGAUAUCAAAUGCGCUCAUACUUGUGGCUCAAAUUUUGUAUCCUAAAUUUAUUGUUGUUGAUGUAGGCUACUAGGCUCUUAGGCUUGAAAUAGUUAUAGCUUAAGAGAUGAGAUCUCCUUAUAGAA
Molecule: non-coding RNA, 1671 nt
Organism: Prunus avium (sweet cherry)
Lineage: Eukaryota; Viridiplantae; Streptophyta; Magnoliopsida; Rosales; Rosaceae
Source: RefSeq, a predicted model, not a curated record